GACAGAGGGGGCAAGCGUUGCUCGGAAUCACUGGGCGUAAAGGGCGCGUAGGCGGGAUGGCAAGUCGGUCGUGAAAUCCCUGGGCUCAACUCAGGGGGGUCGGCCGAUACUGCCGUUCUUGAGGGAUGCAGAGGAGACUGGAAUUCCCGGUGUAGCGGUGAAAUGUGUAGAUAUCGGGAGGAACACCUGUGGCGAAAGCGGCGCACUGGACCACAACUGACGCUGAGGCGCGAAAGCUAGGGGAGCAAACAGG
RNAcentral lists this ribosomal RNA (253 nucleotides) under uncultured prokaryote. RNAcentral describes it as "partial 16S ribosomal RNA". It matches the Rfam family "Bacterial small subunit ribosomal RNA", at positions 524 to 776 of the family's 1533-position model. The record is from RNAcentral.